GAUGAAGAACGUAGCGAAAUGCGAAAAGUAAUGUGAAUUGCAGAAUUCAGUGAAUCAUCGAAUCUUUGACCGCACAUUGCGCCCGCCAGUAUUCUGGCGGGCAUGCCUGUUCGAGCGUCAUUUCAACCAUCAAGCCCCAGGCUUGUGUUGGGGACCUGCGGCUGCCGCAGGCCCUGAAAACCAGUGGCGGGCUCGCUGUCACACCGGGCGUAGUAGAUUUUAUCUCGCUCAGGGCGUGCUGCGGGUUCCGGCCGUUAAAAAGCCUUUUUUACCCAAGGUUGACCUCGGAUCAGGUAGGAAGACCCGCUGAACUUAAGCAUAUCAAUAAGCGGAGGA
Molecule: unclassified non-coding RNA, 336 nt
Filed under: soil metagenome
Description: partial contains 5.8S ribosomal RNA, internal transcribed spacer 2, and large subunit ribosomal RNA
Rfam family: 5.8S ribosomal RNA (bases 1-120)
Source: RNAcentral